UCAACGGAGAGUUUGAUCCUGGCUCAGGACGAACGCUGGCGGCGUGCUUAACACAUGCAAGUCGAGCGGUAAGGCUCCUUCGGGGGUACACGA
This 93-nucleotide ribosomal RNA is filed under the name Nocardioides abyssi. RNAcentral's name for it is "partial 16S ribosomal RNA". It matches the Rfam family "Bacterial small subunit ribosomal RNA", at positions 1 to 94 of the family's 1533-position model. The record is from RNAcentral. Lineage: Bacteria; Bacillati; Actinomycetota; Actinomycetes; Propionibacteriales; Nocardioidaceae.